UUCCCCUAGUAACUGCGAGUGAAGCGGGAAGAGCUCAAAUUUGAAAUCUGGCGGUUCUUGACCGUCCGAGUUGUAAUCUAGAGAAGUGCUACCUGUGCUGGACCGUGUACAAGUCUCCUGGAAUGGAAGCAUCACAGAGGGUGAGAAUCCCGUCUUUGACACGGACUGCCUGCACGUUGUGGUGUGCUCUCGAAGAGUCGAGUUGUUUGGGAAUGCAGCUCAAAAUGGGUGGUAAAUGCCAUCUAAAGCUAAAUAUUGGCGAGAGACCGAUAGCGAACAAGUACCGUGAGGGAAAGAUGAAAAGAACUUUGGAAAGAGAGUUAAACAGUACGUGAAAUUGCUGAAAGGGAAACGCUUGAAGUCAGUCGCGUCGGCCAGAAAUCAGCCUUGCUUUUGCUUGGUGUACUUUCUUGUUGAUGGGUCAGCAUCAAUUUCGACCAUUGGAUAAAGUCGUUCAGGAAUGUGGCAUCUUCGGAUGUGUUAUAGCCUGGCGUCGCAUACGGUGGUUGGGAUUGAGGAACUCAGCACGCCGCAAGGCCGGGUCUUUUUUGACCACGUCCGUGCUUAGGAUGCUGGCAUAAUGGCUUUAAUCGACCCGUCUUGAAACACGGACCAAGGAGUCUAACAUGCCUGCGAGUGUUUGGGUGGAAAACCCAUGCGCGAAAUGAAAGUGAAAGUUGAGAUCCCUCACGGGAGCAUUGACGCCCGGACCAGACCUUUUGCGAAGGAUCCGCGGUAGAGCAUGUGUGUUGGGACCCGAAAGAUGGUGAACUAUGCCUGAAUAGGGUGAAGCCAGAGGAAACUCUGGUGGAGGCUCGUAGCGAUUCUGACGUGCAAAUCGAUCGUCAAAUUUGGGUAUAGGGGCGAAAGACU
Molecule: ribosomal RNA, 873 nt
Filed under: Inocybe sp. 5 TM02_239
Lineage: Eukaryota; Fungi; Basidiomycota; Agaricomycetes; Agaricales; Inocybaceae
Description: eukaryotic LSU rRNA
Rfam family: Eukaryotic large subunit ribosomal RNA
Source: RNAcentral